Alligator mississippiensis (American alligator) is the source of this 4159-nucleotide long non-coding RNA. RefSeq lists it as uncharacterized. Lineage: Eukaryota; Metazoa; Chordata; Crocodylia; Alligatoridae. The record is from RefSeq and is a predicted model, not a curated record. The transcript is spliced from 2 exons.
UAUUUUCUGGUACCCACAAUAGAGCAGCGGCUGAUGGGAUAACCGAGGCAGUAUAGACCGUAUAGAUCGGGGGAUCGCCCUGAUGCUGCCUAAGCAAGGCUCACUUAUGCAACACCCUAACACAAUGCAGGGCCAAUCUUUUGGGCAGAUGUGACACAAAUUAGCCCUGCCUCCCUCCCAGAGUAUCACUCCCAUCUCUUUCCCCUGGCUGAUCUGCUGCUCUGCUUUCCGCUCCCUGUCCUAUCUGUUGCUGUGCUGCCUGUCGCCUCCCUGAGCUGGCACGCGCCAUGCAGAGGGGCUGCCAAAUCCCAAAUGCUACAAACUGCACUCCAGCUCAUGCAUCUUAUAUGUAACGUAUUCCCAGGGAGGUAAAGCUUCCCACCUUGUGAUCACGUGCUGUGGAUAUGCUGCUCUGGUGCUCACAUGGUCUGGUAGCCGUGGUCGUGCUAAGACUGGGGCAGAGCUGGACUAGAUGCCUCGCACACCCAGAACGCUGUCUCACGGUCAGCGAGACGGAGGACAGCAUGCAUCCUAACCUAAUUUUCUUGUUCAACCUGUUGGUAGGUUUUAAAAGGCUAGAAUCUCAUAUUUAUCUCCCCAGCUGCCGACCAUCCUUCCCAAAGUUAUUCCAGAUUCACUGGGGGUCACGACAGCCAUGUGCCACUGGCAAAACACUUCAUGCUGUUGGGUUGGGACAGCGUCUGUCCUCGGUGAGCCCCACAUCUGAGCGUAAAAGGGACGGUGACAAAGUGAGACCAUGCUUGCAACUCCCAGAGGUGGGCUGAAAAUAAAGGGUGAGCAGGUGAAGAAACCGCCCUCGCAUGGGGACUUCUGAUGUCCUUUGCCCGACACAAAUCCUACCUGUACAUUGGGUAUCCACAUCACUCGCUGAUGAAUGGAUGCCAUAUACAUAUCCAUGGAAGGUGCAUUCAUGUUUUGCAGUCUCUUACACCGAGUAGUUUACGGGGAAAUAGGUCUGUAUUGUGGAGCAUUAGCACGGAUCAGCGGCUCUAGUUUGGGAUAGCCUUCUCUGUCUGCUGCAAUGCUCAAAGCAAGUCCGAGCACAUCUGCCUUUAAGACCCCCUCCUUACUGCAAGUGCAUGAUGUGCCAGACCGUUUCCCCAGGAGCAGAAUGGUCAUGCUGAACGCGAUUAAGUAUUUUAGGGCGUGCUUUCCUUCCAAGUCACUUUAAAAAAGGCCAAAAGGCUUGAUAGUGCACCAUAAUUAGAGUCUGUAGCAGAAAGGCAUGGGCCUGAGAGCAUCUUGCUACAGCUCUAGUGGUGGGAGUUUGAGUCCUGCUCUGGGCUCGUGCCAAAGGCUCUCAGCUAUGCAUAGUUAUUCAGGCUGGGGUGGGGAAGGCAGAUGGAUGUGACACGAGCCCCUCCUCUCCCUUGGCUACAGAAACUGGUGUGCCUGAACCACGGCAGCUGUGUGAGCCACUGGCUUUUGGGUAGUAGAAAGGCAGCACGGACACAUUGGCGACGCUCAAGGCUUCUCCGCAGGUUUUUCCUUUUCGGUGGACGCGGAGGAAGAGCCGAAGCAUGGAGGCCAAUGUAACUACGGGGCAGCUAGCUAAUAGAGGGGACCCUGGCUGGAAGAGGCACCGUCCAGAGUCUCAAGCAAGAGCUUUGAGGCUCCGUCUCGUGUUCACCUAAUGAAUGCUUAAUUGUUUACCUCUGGCUAUCGAGCCUCUGUUCUCUAUCUUAAUACCUUUGUGAUAAGCGGAAGUUGCAUGAGUCAGUGAUGGGAUGAAUGUGGCCGCACGAUUAGCACGGCGCUUGGAGCCCGGGCCCCAUUCAUCGUGCGGCCUGUUUACUGGCUUCUCAGGCCGGAUAUUGUUACUCGCCCGAUUCGCGGUGCCGCGGCGAGGAUCGAGUGCUUGUGCAAGACCUCAGAUGGACGUGCGAGAGAAGUGUUUACAAAUUUUCCACGUGCAAUAAGGCACAGUCGGUUCUCUCCUGAUUCACUCUGCACCACGACUGGAAGGUUACUCCGAAUAUUCAUAAAAGUUAGGAAGAAGGGGCCCAAGAAUAAUGUGGCGCCAAGCCCGUCACGCUGCUCCCGGAGGGGGCGAAUUCUUUAAAAACUGCCUGGUGCCUUCAUUGGUUAGCUCUUGCUGCUCUUCCCUUUCCGAUGUGUGUACGUGUGUAAACAGGAGCGUUCACCCUCGUGGCCAAGUAGUUUAGCAGCAGUCAUUGAGGGAGAUUUAAGCCUGUCAUUUCUCAUUUCUUGAUGGACACCAGUAGCUGGAGAGUGGAUGGGGAAUAGCAUGGAAACUCUGCUCAGUGGUGAGGGCUUAGACAUCUUUUCCUUUUAAACUGGCUGGAUUGCGGGAGUGGAUCUCCAAGUGCUGACAACAUGAUUUGCAGGGCAAGAGCCAGAAGACAAUGCUGAGGCUGAUGAGUGCGUGCAAUGCAAGCGGGGAAAUGCCUUUUCCCCUGGAAUAAGUCUAAAGGAAACUUGUGGCUUUAAAACACCAGGUUUUUUGCAGUACCUGGCAGGAAGCCUGCUCUGGCGUGAAGGUGACGGAGUGAAGGUUGCAUUAACUGGGGCUUUUUUAGUGGUUGAACUUGCAUUGAACUGCCACUAAAGUAAGACAGGUUGCUGGUUCGGGGUGCAGGACAGAAAUCCAGAUCAGUUUACAGCAGAAUUUCUCCAGGGCUACCGGACCCGAUGGGUGCAGAGGUAGCAAUGAUGCACGUAGCAGAACAACCUCCGUGGUUAUCCUUGUUAUUUUUACUAGAAGCAGGUGCAGAAGCAGCUCGGAUGUUGCAGCUUCGCCUUGUCCCCGACAUAAGAAAUCCAGACACUUCCCUGGACUUCAUCUCUGCCGGGUGCUCAAGAAGCCACACCUUUUGGAGCUGUCGGCCAAAAAACGACCGGCUCAUUUAGACAGCGCGGGGAUGCUGACACUGUUCUUCUCAACAGAUCCCUCUAGCUGGAGUCUAGCUUGUGGCUUGCUAGUGACAGCUGCUGUCAUCCUUCUCCUCCAGAAGUUACGUCUUCCAACUAACUAGGAGUGGGGGGAUGAAAACCUGUCUUUGAUUAGAAGACUGACUCAUAUUUUUCAGUUCCACACAUGGACCCCAGGCUUAAUUGCAAGUCAAUCAAGCUCGACAAAGAGCAGAAGUCCAGCCGCAGAGGCCUGUGAUCAAAAAACAUAAGCGGGCACGAUGCGGCGACCAGCGGUACAGGGUGGCACUUACUGGGAAUGGUUUCAGUAGGUCAGGAAUCAGCGAGCCUGACUUGCCUUUGCUGCAAUUGUCUGUCCCUGCUCCUGCCAUCGACUGCCUGGGUCGGUAGGAAUUUGGCUGAACUUGUCUUUAAAAGGCAUAGGGUUGAUGGAGAUCUCUCUGCCAGCCUGUCUGCUCCAGCUGAGGUUUCUGUAGACCCCCACCUGUGAAAGGAUCUCUUACUGGCCUGAUGAACAUCUGUAGUCACAUGCUAAAUACCUGAUUUGACUUUGAAUCCUUAACUAACGGGCAGGAUAAAAAUAAAAUCUCUUCCUAAUGGUCUCUUGGAGGCCCUACUCUAGUUCAGACAUCUUAAACCCGUUCGAAAAUGCAUUUAAACCCCGCUUGAAGGUACAAAACUACCACGCGUGUUAAAGCAAGUGGCUGCAGGUAGCAUUUCAUCCAAUCAUUGCCCCUUUUUCUCAAAGCCACAAGGCUGGAUAAUCUUCUGUGUUUGUGGCGCUUCGCUUAUUUUGUCUGGACGAGGUUUGUAGCUGCAGGUCUUCUCGUUACAAAGCUCUGGCAAAUGGAAUUAUUCUGCUCAAUUUGCAUAAGUGUAUUAAAAGCCAAAAAACCCCCUUGUUCAUGCAGCAUCAUCUGCUUGGAUUUCAACACAAGGACAUGGGGGAGUCGGGAAUUAAGGUUUUGGCAGACGCAGCAACAGGAAACCGAUACAAGUCAUAGAAGUGGCGAAACCUUCCUUUAAACUAUACGUGAAUUCAAUUUGAAGCGGUAAAAAUCGAACUGCCCCCUCUCUGCUUGUUCCUUAGCCUGAAUCUGAAGCAUAUGUUCCCCUUUUGCUUCCAGUGUCUUUUGUAGCGGACAAUGUCAGGGGAUGUUUGUUUGUCUGGGCUCCAAAUUGCAAUGGGCCGGUAAACUGUUAUUCCUUUGUGAUGUAACUCAAGAGGAAAACUUCCUGUUUUUCA